CAACAAUAAUCAGAACAAGAAGCACCUGUUAAUGUACCUCUGGAAGAGCCGUGUGAAGAACCAACAAAGCAACAAUCCAAAUAAGAAGUACCUGCUGAUGUCUGCCCUCUAGAACCCAACAAGCAGGGUGUUACGGGGUCUAUUACAAGCUCUGUUAUUGAACAAUUUUUCAAGGAUACCGAUGUCUAUCAAGUUUCUGAUGAAGAACAAUCAAAAAAACCUCCGGUGGCACGACAAUCAGAAAAAGAAACUCUAAUCUUGUCAUCAUUUGACAUUGCUGCUCAACCCAGGGAAAGGGAAUAUGAAAGGCCUUUCUUUAGCCUUGGAAUAAGUCCACCAGCAUCUCAACCAACUCAGCCCUCUUAAGAGAGUGAUUCACAGCUUGAAAUCCUAGCAAAGGCGGUUGUAGAAGUUGGAGUGGAAGCAGCAUUAAAAUUUGCUGAAGGAACAUCUUCAAAACCAACCUUACCAGCGGCUCAAGUUUACAAAACCCCACAAAAAAGACAAAAAUCACCCCCGAGCUGAUUGAUAAGUGUUAUCAUUGGAUGACACAAGUAAAACAGACAAAAGAUGGUACCAAUGAAUAUGAACCAAUAUUUGUCUUGAAACAUGAGG
Arachis duranensis is the source of this 615-nucleotide long non-coding RNA. RefSeq lists it as uncharacterized. The record is from RefSeq and is a predicted model, not a curated record. The transcript is spliced from 4 exons. NCBI's taxonomy places the organism in Eukaryota, Viridiplantae, Streptophyta, Magnoliopsida, Fabales, Fabaceae.